This 388-nucleotide ribosomal RNA is filed under the name uncultured Methanomicrobiales archaeon. Its description in RNAcentral is "bacterial SSU rRNA". It matches the Rfam family "Archaeal small subunit ribosomal RNA", at positions 951 to 1338 of the family's 1478-position model. Lineage: Archaea; Methanobacteriati; Methanobacteriota; Methanomicrobia; Methanomicrobiales. The record is from RNAcentral.
AGGCCAGGCUGAAGACUUUGCCGGAUUAGCUGAGAGGUGGUGCAUGGCCGUCGUCAGUUCGUACUGUGAAGCAUCCUGUUAAGUCAGGCAACGAGCGAGACCCACGCCAACAGUUGCUAGCUCGUCCUCCGGGAUGGAGAGGACACUGUUGGGACCGCCUCUGGCUAAAGAGAGGAAGGAAUGGGCAACGGUAGGUCAGCAUGCCCCGAAUUAUCUGGGCUACACGCGGGCUACAAUGGGUGGGACAAUGGGUAUCGACACCGAAAGGUGAAGGCAAUCUCCUAAACCCAUCCUUAGUUCGGAUUGUGGGCUGCAACUCGCCCACAUGAAGCUGGAAUCUGUAGUAAUCGUGUUUCAAAAUAGCACGGUGAAUAUGUCCCUGCUCCUU